Molecule: unclassified non-coding RNA, 229 nt
Filed under: plant metagenome
Description: partial contains small subunit ribosomal RNA, internal transcribed spacer 1, and 5.8S ribosomal RNA
Source: RNAcentral
UCUCCGUAGGUGAACCUGCGGAGGGAUCAUUACAGAGUUCAUGCCCUACCGGGUAGAUCUCCCACCCUAUGUUAUUAUUACUUUGUUGCUUUGGCGGGCCGUUAGUCUCCGGCCCGACUACCGGCCCCGGCUGGUAAGCGCCCGCCAGAGGACCCAAAACCAUGAAUAUUAGUGUCGUCUGAGUACUAUAUAAUAGUUAAAACUUUCAACAACGGAUCUCUUGGUUCUG